This 776-nucleotide ribosomal RNA is filed under the name uncultured Micromonosporaceae bacterium. Its description in RNAcentral is "bacterial SSU rRNA". It matches the Rfam family "Bacterial small subunit ribosomal RNA", at positions 8 to 796 of the family's 1533-position model. Lineage: Bacteria; Bacillati; Actinomycetota; Actinomycetes; Micromonosporales; Micromonosporaceae. The record is from RNAcentral.
AGAGUUUGAUCCUGGCUCAGGACGAACGCUGGCGGCGUGCUUAACACAUGCAAGUCGAACGGUGAAGCCCUUCGGGGUGGAUCAGUGGCGAACGGGUGAGUAACACGUGAGCAAUCUGCCCUUGACUCUGGGAUAACUUCGGGAAACCGGAGCUAAUACCGGAUAUGACGCAUGGCCGCAUGGUCUGUGUGUGGAAAGAUUUAUUGGUCAGGGAUGAGCUCGCGGCCUAUCAGCUUGUUGGUGGGGUGAUGGCCUACCAAGGCGACGACGGGUAGCCGGCCUGAGAGGGCGACCGGCCACACUGGGACUGAGACACGGCCCAGACUCCUACGGGAGGCAGCAGUGGGGAAUAUUGCACAAUGGACGCAAGUCUGAUGCAGCGACGCCGCGUGGGGGAUGACGGCCUUCGGGUUGUAAACCCCUUUCGCCAGGGACGAAGCCCGCAAGGGUGACGGUACUUGGAGAAGAAGCGCCGGCCAACUACGUGCCAGCAGCCGCGGUAAGACGUAGGGCGCGAGCGUUGUCCGGAUUUAUUGGGCGUAAAGAGCUCGUAGGCGGUCUGCUACGUCUGUCGUGAAAACCUGCAGCUUAACUGUGGGCUUGCGGUUGAUACGGGUGGGCUGGAGUUCGGUAGGGGAGACUGGAAUUCCUGGUGUAGCGGUGAAAUGCGCAGAUAUCGGGAGGAACACCAGUAGCGAAGGCGGCUCGCUGGGCCAUUCCUGACGCUGAGACGCGAAAGCUAGGGGAGCGAACAGGAUUAGAUACCCUGGUAGUCC